UACUUGGGAGACUGAGGCAGGAGGACUGAUUGAGCCUGGGAGGUCAAGGCUGCAGUGACCGAUGGUCACA
RNAcentral lists this microRNA precursor (70 nucleotides) under Colobus angolensis palliatus. Its description in RNAcentral is "miRNA (ENSCANG00000015789.1)". Lineage: Eukaryota; Metazoa; Chordata; Mammalia; Primates; Cercopithecidae. The record is from RNAcentral.